AGCUCCAAUAGCGUAUAUUACAGUUGUUGCAGUUAAAAAGCUCGUAGUUGAACCUUGGGUCUGGCUGGCCGGUCCGCCUCACCGCGAGUACUGGUCCGGCUGGACCUUUCCUUCUGGGGAACCUCAUGGCCUUCACUGGCUGUGGGGGGAACCAGGACUUUUACUGUGAAAAAAUUAGAGUGUUCAAAGCAGGCCUUUGCUCGAAUACAUUAGCAUGGAAUAAUAGAAUAGGACGUGUGGUUCUAUUUUGUUGGUUUCUAGGACCGCCGUAAUGAUUAAUAGGGAUAGUCGGGGGCGUCAGUAUUCAGCUGUCAGAGGUGAAAUUCUUGGAUCUGCUGAAGACUAACUACUGCGAAAGCAUUCGCCAAGGAUGUUUUCAUUAAUCAGGGAACGAAAGUUAGGGGAUCGAAGACGAUCAGAUACCGUCGUAGUCUUAACCAUAAACUAUGCCGACUAGGGAUCGGACGGGAUUCUAUAAUGACCCGUUCGGCACCUUACGAGA
Molecule: ribosomal RNA, 502 nt
Filed under: uncultured eukaryote
Lineage: Eukaryota
Description: SSU rRNA
Rfam family: Eukaryotic small subunit ribosomal RNA
Source: RNAcentral